AGUGAACGCUGGCGGUAGGCCUAACACAUGCAAGUCGAACGGCAGCACAGUAAGAGCUUGCUCUUACGGGUGGCGAGUGGCGGACGGGUGAGGAAUACAUCGGAAUCUACUUUUUCGUGGGGGAUAACGUAGGGAAACUUAUGCUAAUACAGCAUAUGACCUACGGGUGAAAGCAGGGGAUCUUCGGACCUUGCGCGAUUGAAUGAGCCGAUGUCGGAUUAGCUAGUUGGCGGGGUAAAGGCCCAGCAAGGCGACGAUCCGUAGCUGGUCUGAGAGGAUGGUCGGCCACACUGGAACGGAGACACGGUCCAGACUCCUACGGGAGGCAGCAGUGGGGAAUAUUGGGCAAUAGGCGCAAGCCUGAUCCAGCCAGACCGCGUGGGUGAAAAAGGCCUUCGGGUUGUAAAGCCCUUUUGUUGGGAAAGAAAAGCAGCAGGUUAAUACCCCGCUGUUCUGACGGUACCCAAAGAAUAAGCACCGGCUAACUUCGUG
This 492-nucleotide ribosomal RNA is filed under the name uncultured bacterium. RNAcentral's name for it is "partial 16S ribosomal RNA". It matches the Rfam family "Bacterial small subunit ribosomal RNA", at positions 29 to 507 of the family's 1533-position model. The record is from RNAcentral.